AUUGAACGCUGGCGGCAGGUUUAACACAUGCAAGUCGAGAGAGCGGAGGACGGGUGAGUAAUGUCGGGGAAACUGCCUGAUGGAGGGGGAUAACUAGUGGAAACGGUAGCAAAUACCGCAUACCAUCAGAUGUGCCCAGAUGGGAUUAGCUAGUAGGUGGGGACAUGGCUCACCUAGGCGACGAUCCCGAGCUGGUCUGAGAGGAUGAGCAGCCACACUGGAACUGAUACCCGGUCCAGACUCCUACUGUAGGCAGCAGUGGGGCAUAUUGCACAAUGGGCGCAAGCCUGAUGCAGCCAUGCCGCGUGUGUGAAGAAGGCCUUCGGGUUGUAAAGCACUUUCAGCGAGGAGGCGUUACUCGCAGAAGAAGCACCGGCUAACUCCGUGCCAGCAGCCGCGGUAAUAC
RNAcentral lists this ribosomal RNA (406 nucleotides) under uncultured bacterium. Its description in RNAcentral is "partial 16S ribosomal RNA". It matches the Rfam family "Bacterial small subunit ribosomal RNA", at positions 30 to 526 of the family's 1533-position model. The record is from RNAcentral.